GUUGAUCAGCGUGAAUAUGAUGAUGAAGAAGAUCUGGGAAUUCAAUUUGUGAGGGAUUCUGCUGAAGAAGGUGAGAUGUGUAGUGGUGAUGAAGAGACAGUAUUCUCACCAAAUUUGCCAAAGGUUGAAAGUUCCUCCAAGCUAGGAUCCAGUCGCAGGCUUAAUGCCACAGCUCCGGAAUUCAUCCCCAACAUUGAGCAACAACAAAGAUGCACAAAAGCUGAAUCGAAAGGAAAAGCAAUAGCAAAGAAAUCUGGGCAGCAGCAGCAACUCAAUUCAACAACUGUAGCUGAAGUUGUUACUGAAUCUGGGCAGCAGCAGCAAC
RNAcentral lists this long non-coding RNA (325 nucleotides) under Nicotiana tabacum (common tobacco). RNAcentral describes it as "long non-coding RNA (NTAB_LNC013293)". The record is from RNAcentral. Lineage: Eukaryota; Viridiplantae; Streptophyta; Magnoliopsida; Solanales; Solanaceae.